UAAUAAUAAUAAUAAUAAAGGGGAGAAAUGUUACUCAUAUUUUGAGUCAGUACAUGGUACAAUCCCACAACAUUCACCUAUGAAAACAUGUUUAAGCCACGUUUGCAGGCUUGCAGCCAUUAAUUCAAAAAAGGGGGGCAUUGCCCUCCAAAGCAGAUAAUCACGGUGUGAUUCCUUCACUAUCUCAAAUUGUAAGCAAUUUAGGGCACUAAACUUCACAACUUAUUCUCACUUUUAAAAUGUAAAGUUUGCGAACCCCAGUUCAUGGACAAGCUAGGGCACUUAUAUUUGUGGGUUAUUCUUGCAUUUUUUAAGUAUACUGUUUGCUGUAUGACAUCGCCUGUGAAAAUCCCUAACAGAAACUACAUUUCAUCAAGUUAACCAUCCAACUUAGAACAUAAUGCAAGUUCAUGGACCCAAAACUAAUUGAAAGGCUCAAGCUUUUGCCAAGUCUUCAAAGAAGAGCUUGUAAAAGGAAAUUAAGUUGAAAUGAACUUCCAAAACAUGAAAAUAUAUGUAGAACUCAAAAAUAGGAAGACAAAGGCAGCAUUAUCUAAAUAGUUAAGAAUUGCCUCUUGCAAUAUUCAUAUCUAUAAAUGUUGAAUUCAUAUGGCUUUUCAAAAUAUAUUCAGUCAGAGUGUCAUCAAUCCAGAGUAGAAAGAGAAUUACGUCACCCACAAAGAAAAAGCUAAGAGCCA
Molecule: unclassified non-coding RNA, 698 nt
Filed under: Hevea brasiliensis (rubber tree)
Lineage: Eukaryota; Viridiplantae; Streptophyta; Magnoliopsida; Malpighiales; Euphorbiaceae
Source: RNAcentral